Molecule: ribosomal RNA, 468 nt
Filed under: uncultured bacterium
Lineage: Bacteria
Description: partial 16S ribosomal RNA
Rfam family: Bacterial small subunit ribosomal RNA
Source: RNAcentral
GACGAACGCUGGCGGCGUGCUUAACACAUGCAAGUCGAACGGAAAGGCCCUGCUUUUGUGGGGUGCUCGAGUGGCGAACGGGUGAGUAACACGCGAGUAACCUGCCCUUGACUUUGGGAUAACUUCAGGAAACUGGGGCUAAUACCGGAUAGGAGCUCCUGCUGCAUGGUGGGGGUUGGAAAGUUUCGGCGGUUGGGGAUGGACUCGCGGCUUAUCAGCUUGUUGGUGGGGUAGUGGCUUACCAAGGCUUUGACGGGUAGCCGGCCUGAGAGGGUGACCGGCCACAUUGGGACUGAGAUACGGCCCAGACUCCUACGGGAGGCAGCAGUGGGGAAUAUUGCACAAUAGGCGGAAGCCUGAUGCAGCAACGCCGCGUGCGGGAUGACGGCCUUCGGGUUGUAAACCGCUUUCGCCUGUGACGAAGCGUGAGUGACGGUAAUGGGUAAAGAAGCACCGGCUAACUACGUG